GAUGAACGCUGGCGGCGUGCCUAAUACAUGCAAGUCGAACGAAACUUCUUUAUCACCGAGUGCUUGCACUCACCGAUAAAGAGUUGAGUGGCGAACGGGUGAGUAACACGUGGGCAACCUGCCCAAAAGAGGGGGAUAACACUUGGAAACAGGUGCUAAUACCGCAUAACCAUAGUUACCGCAUGGUAACUAUGUAAAAGGUGGCUAUACUACCGCUUUUGGAUGGGCCCGCGGCGCAUUAGCUAGUUGGUAGGGUAAAGGCUUACCAAGGCAAUGAUGCGUAGCCGAAUUGAGAGGUUGAUCGGCCACAUUGGGACUGAGACACGGCCCAAACUCCUACGGGAGGCAGCAGUAGGGAAUCUGCCACAAUGGGCGAAAGCCUGAUGGAGCAACGCCGCGUGGGUGAAGAAGGUCUUCGGAUCGUAAAACCCUGUUGUUAGAGAAGAAAGUGCGUGAGAGUAACUGUUCACGUUUCGACGGUAUCUAGCCAGAAAGCCACGGCUAACUACGUG
Molecule: ribosomal RNA, 512 nt
Filed under: uncultured bacterium
Lineage: Bacteria
Description: partial 16S ribosomal RNA
Rfam family: Bacterial small subunit ribosomal RNA
Source: RNAcentral